Molecule: long non-coding RNA, 1556 nt
Filed under: Nicotiana benthamiana
Lineage: Eukaryota; Viridiplantae; Streptophyta; Magnoliopsida; Solanales; Solanaceae
Description: long non-coding RNA (NBEN_LNC021193)
Source: RNAcentral
CUUUAUCUCUGGAAGCAACACAACAAGCGGAACCCAUGCUUGCUUACACAGAACACAGAUAGGCAGCUAUCAGUCAGACCAAUGACAAUGCUAACAUGUUCACUCCAUGAUCCAAAUUUGAAAGUUCAAUUUUCUGAAACAAAAAAGAAGAAUGAGGUAAAAACAAUCAAAAUCAAAGCAGAUAUGCACUUUGACUACCACAGAAAAAUCUUUUUCGUACACAAGAAUCCGAGCAAAAGUUAUCCUUCACAUAGUAGGAUAUUGAAAUCAUAAAGCAUGCAAAUGGUUUGAGACGUAAUGCUUUAUAUAAAUGACCAGGUUGCUCGCACUUUAUAACCCAUUCAGGUUUUGCACCCAGAACCUAAGACAGCAAUCUAGCCGCCACCAAAUCAUCCAUAAAACUCCCCCGCCCAAUAGAAUAAGAUUUAUGCAGAAAGAUGGUAAUGCCGAUAAUCCGGGAAGAGUUCUCUUAGAAGAAGGAAAAAAAAGAUUCAUUCAUACACCUACAUAACAUUCCACUAGAAAAUAAAUUUCCAUUUUUGAAAGCUCAAUUUCAGCUCAAAAUCAAACUGCGAUUUCCAAUUUCAUAAAAUUCUAUAGGUCUAAAAUACUUCAACAACCAGGCAUUUAAAGAGAAUAAUCCAAUCAUACCGAAACAAAGUUCUAGUGAAGAAUUACAGUACAGUCAACACAAACAUUACUACUAGUCUACUACUACAACAACUACGCCUCAGUCCCACACAAGUUGCUAGGUCGACUAUAUGAAUACUCUCUGACCAUAUUUAUCUAUUUAAGCUCAACUCAUGUCAUCAUCAGACCAAACAAAACAGUCAUUUUUCAUGUUAAUAAUUACACAAGCAUAUAAUAUUGAAAGAAGCUUCACGGUGAAGAAUAACAGUAUAGUCAACACAAACAUUUCUGCUCAAUAAAUCAGCAAAUCUGAUAAACAUGUUAUUAUUCGUGCUAAUAAUUAUACAUUAAAGCACUGCGUGCAAUAAACCCCGCACACAACAUCCAUUAAAUCAAAUUCCCUAACUAAGCCUAAGAUUCAUUUCCCCAGGUUAACUUUUUUUUAAAAUGAAAUAAUACCUUUUAACUAGCUAAUUCAAUUUCAUCUUACACCACGGAUGUCAUAGAGAUCCGAAAGUUAAGCCAGAUAAACAUUAAUUUACUGCCGAAAAUUAAAAAAUCUGUAUAUAUACAUUAAAAAAAAAAAAACUACCAAUUAUCUCCCCAGUAAUCUCAGAAUAAGCAUAUAUCUCUUUUACUUAAUCAAUAGCCAGUAACAUAUGUCCAAUCAUAAACAAAUACAAAUACAAAUUCUAUUGCUCUAAAUAAGUAUAUACAAAAAAAAAAUCGAAAAUAUAUGAAUAUAUUACAAUUUUAUCCUCAUAAUUAUCAACUCUCCUACCGUGAAAUUCGCCGUCCGGCGACCGUCAAGCACAAAAAGUGAGGGGAGUAGUGAAGAAGGUGGGAGGGGGUGGGUGUACACAUAGAGAGAGAGGGUAAAGGUUCUGAUUCUUCCUCUUCUGAGUUGCGGGAAGAGAGAGAAAANN